CUUCUCUGGGAGCAUCGUCAAAAAAGUGCUGAGGCUCCUCCGCCAGAUGGGCGUGCCCUGUUUCUCGUACGAGACAUACUUCAAGAUUCAGGGUGCCUUCCUUCUACCAGCAAUCAGACAGGUCGCUCUUGAGAAGGCAGCUCCUCGGCAGCCAAACUGUGCUUGUUGAAUGCUACGAGGGGAACAAGACCUGAACAGGCAGGGGUCUAUGCGACCUAAACUUCCAGGUGUGGAACAGGAAACAAAACGAGCUCUUUGAGCAAGCAAGUGGACGAGAACUGGUCCUCGCUGGUGAUGGGCGGUCAGACUCCC
This is a long non-coding RNA of Ixodes scapularis (black-legged tick), 312 nucleotides long. RefSeq lists it as uncharacterized. Lineage: Eukaryota; Metazoa; Arthropoda; Arachnida; Ixodida; Ixodidae. The transcript is spliced from 3 exons. The record is from RefSeq and is a predicted model, not a curated record.